Molecule: ribosomal RNA, 253 nt
Filed under: uncultured bacterium
Lineage: Bacteria
Description: partial 16S ribosomal RNA
Rfam family: Bacterial small subunit ribosomal RNA
Source: RNAcentral
GACAGAGGAUGCAAGCGUUAUCCGGAAUGAUUGGGCGUAAAGCGUCCGCAGGUGGCUGUGUAAGUCUGCUGUUAAAGAGUGAGGCUCAACCUCAUAAAGGCAGUGGAAACUACAUGGCUAGAGUGCGCUCGGGGCAGAGGGAAUUCCUGGUGUAGCGGUGAAAUGCGUAGAGAUCAGGAAGAACACCGGUGGCGAAAGCGCUCUGCUAGGCCGCAACUGACACUGAGGGACGAAAGCUAGGGGAGCGAAUGGG